CAGGUCCAGCUGCAGCAGUCUGGGGCUGAGCUGGUGAGGCCUGGGGCCUCAGUGAAGAUUUCCUGCAAGGCUUUUGGCUACACCUUCACAAACCAUCAUAUAAACUGGGUGAAGCAGAGGCCUGGACAGGGCCUGGACUGGAUUGGAUAUAUUAAUCCUUAUAAUGAUUAUACUAGCUACAGAACCAGAAGUUCAAGGGCAAGGCCACAUUGACUGUAGACAAAUCCUCCAGCACAGCCUAUAUGGAGCUUAGCAGCCUGACAUCUGAGGACUCUGCAGUCUAUUACUGUGCAAGA
Non-coding RNA from Mus musculus (house mouse), 296 nucleotides. Lineage: Eukaryota; Metazoa; Chordata; Mammalia; Rodentia; Muridae. The record is from the annotation of a RefSeq genome assembly.